Cyprinus carpio (common carp) is the source of this 2075-nucleotide long non-coding RNA. The record is from Ensembl. Lineage: Eukaryota; Metazoa; Chordata; Actinopteri; Cypriniformes; Cyprinidae.
CCAGGGGUCUCUGGUUAUCUUAAGGAGACCCUAGCCAUUGCUGUCGGGUUUUAGUGUAGCCUACUGUACGUCCCAGUCAUGUGAUGACUGCAAAAUAACUAAAGUCCACGUGAGUCCAAAAAAUUUAAAUGUCAUAUUAUUAAAUGGUGACUGAAAAGGACUGGAUGCAUUUCUAUAGCCUACAUACUUAAACGUUUGCACACACUGGACAUUUUUAUAUUAUUACUGAACACUAUAAAUAUUUUGAAGAUUUUUUGCCAAAAAUGUAUUUUUAAGCUGGCAAAAGCAGUUCAUUAAAUGGUCGGUAAGAGUCCAUCGAAAGUCACUUUCACUUCGACAUGAAUGUAGUCAGAGCCGGCCAAGCCACUAAACGACCUUUGCAAUUGCAAAGGGCCCCGUGGCCAGCAGAGGGCCCCUAGAGUCACUGCUGGCUAGUGGGUGAAAAAAAUCAUACAUCAAAAGUAACAUAAAAUAAAUAAAUAAAAACAAAUGUGCCUACAGUGCUCUUUAUCAGACAUCAUGAUAAGCACAGUUGUUAUUUAGUUCUUUAUCAUGGCGAGUUCCCCGCGAAUCUUGACCCUGACUGACCCCUAUGAUGUCACUCGUCACCUGGUCAGUGUCUGUCAGUCAGUUACUCCGACGUCGGCGAUGUCUGACAAGAAACGAAAAUAUCUUUUUGGCCAUGAAAAACAACAAAAGAAGAGAAGAAGCAAGAAGAUAAAGAUCUCAGAGCCUAGGCUGCCUACAGAGACGCGUUUUUUUGACGGCCUGCUGAUGGGGCCGGCAGCUAGCGGAUCGUUAGGAAAGAUUAGAUGAAUGUGAUCAUUUAUGGUUGGGCCUUUUUUUCGGCCUGAAAUCGCUGAUACAACCUUCAAUUUUUUGUUUUUUAGCAACUUACUUUUUUCCAGGGAGACCAUGUAUGCAUGUGCACGCACAUGUUUGGAUUUUAAUAGUUCUAUUGAAAUGUUACCUAAUUCUUAUUAUUGUUACUAUUAAUCUUGUUUGUGGUGUUUUAGAUGUUAUUGUUAAUUUUGUUUAUUUGAAAAAUUCAAACAUUUAAAUGUUUUAUUUAUUAUUUAUUUUAUAUAAUAUUUUAUUUAAAUGUUAUUCUGUUUGCUCUAUUUCAUUUAAAUUAUAUAUAGGCUGUUGUUUGUGCCUCUUAAACUCUGGUGUCAAUUAAAAAUGUUUCUUUGAUGGUCAGUGAAAAUCACUUUAUCAGUCUUUUUAUUCAGCAAGUUCAUCAGUGUGUGUUUGUUGCACUGCCAUUCAGCUCAGUGGUAUCAUAAUUUUCCUGUUAGACAUCAAACAUGGAACUCAACUCAAAAACUCAAGGUCUUUUAUUGUCAUUCUGUACAUGUUGCCACAUAAGAACGAAAUACUCAGGACCAGCAGCGUGAAAAAGAUAAUUAACAUACAGCAUACAUAGAAUAAUUCAAACAAUUUAAUAGACUAAAAAAAGUUAAAAAUAACAUAGUAGAUAUAAUAUGUACAGUAUAGUUAUAAGGUAGUCAUUGCUUUUCUUUAGGCCUUACUUAAAACGGUCAAAAGGGCCUCCAACCAAAUUUUGCUUAGGGCCCCCAAAGGUAUAGGGCCGGCUCUGAAUGUAGUGCUAAAAUAACCUAAUCACAUACAGCCUCAGUGCUAAGGGUAAUAUUAAUUAUGACAUACCGCACCUAUAGCAUAUUUUCAUUUACACUUUUUAUUGUAUUCCUGUGAAGGGAAGCAGAAAUGUUUCUCUCCCCCCUCUGGAUAUUCUGAAGCGGAACCCUUUCUCACUGCCUUUUUCAUUGCCUUGUAAUGUAUAUUAUGCAGGGCAUCAAAUAUUCACCUCUUUCUUGCAUUUUGCAAUAGUAAGAUAGGUUUUUAUGAGGGAUUUUUUUUUUCUUUUCCAAUUCUCUCUAUAGUUUUGGAUUGUUCUGUUGUCUAUUUGUUCCCUUUACAUUCUUGAUGGUCUGUAUGAAUGUCUUAUACUAUUGACAUUGACAUGAUCCUAUAAAAGUCAGGCGUAAUAGUAAGUGGCAAUGCAAAAACAUUUUGAUAAUAAAUUUUUUUGUAAAACUAAAAAGGAUUUUUUU